GUAGGUGGCAAGCGUUGUCCGGAAUUAUUGGGCGUAAAGCGCGCGCAGGCGGUUCUUUAAGUCUGAUGUGAAAGCCCACGGCUCAACCGUGGAGGGUCAUUGGAAACUGGGGAACUUGAGUACAGAAGAGGAAAGCGGAAUUCCACGUGUAGCGGUGAAAUGCGUAGAGAUGUGGAGGAACACCAGUGGCGAAGGCGGCUUUCUGGUCUGUAACUGACGCUGAGGCGCGAAAGCGUGGGGAGCAAACAGGGAUUAGAUACCCUGGUAGUCCACGCCGUAAACGAUGAGUGCUAAGUGUUAGGGGGUUUCCGCCCCCUUAGUGCUGCAGCUAACGCAUUAAGCACUCCGCCUGGGGAUACGGCCGCAAGGCUG
This 372-nucleotide ribosomal RNA is filed under the name uncultured organism. Its description in RNAcentral is "partial 16S ribosomal RNA". It matches the Rfam family "Bacterial small subunit ribosomal RNA", at positions 527 to 896 of the family's 1533-position model. The record is from RNAcentral.